UUGAAUUUUAAACUUGGGAUGUUGCUGACCCCUUCACCCGGGUAACGUGCACUCCCUUGAUAUUCAAAUCCACCUGUGCACAAUUGAGUAGGCAUAGAUUGAGUUCUGUGCCUAUGUUUUACACACACACUAUGCUUGUAACAGAUGGCCAUUGUAUAAUAUAAUCAUAUUA
This 172-nucleotide unclassified non-coding RNA is filed under the name uncultured Clavariaceae. RNAcentral describes it as "sequence contains ITS1". Lineage: Eukaryota; Fungi; Basidiomycota; Agaricomycetes; Agaricales; Clavariaceae. The record is from RNAcentral.